GUGCUUGCUUUGGCAGCACAUAUACUAAAAUUGGAAUGAUAUAGAGAACAUUAACAUGACCCGUGCACAAGAAUGAUAUGUAAAUUCAUGAAGCAUUCAUAUUUUUA
This is a small nuclear RNA of Pteropus vampyrus (large flying fox), 107 nucleotides long. Lineage: Eukaryota; Metazoa; Chordata; Mammalia; Chiroptera; Pteropodidae. The record is from Ensembl.